AUUGAACGCUGGCGGCAGGCCUAACACAUGCAAGUCGAGCGGAGGAAGGGAGCAUGCUUCUGGAUUCAGCGGCGGACGGGCGAGUAAUGCCUAGGAAUCUGCCUGGCAGUGGGGGAUAGCGUCCGGAAACGGGCGCUAAUCCCACAUACGUUCUGAGGGAGAAAGUGGGGGAUCUUCGGACAUCACGCUAUUAGCUGAGCCUAGGUCGGAUUAGCUAGUUGGUGGGGUAAAGGCCUACCAAGGCGACGAUCCGUAACUGGUCUGAGAGGAUGAUCAGUCACACUGGAACUGAGACACGGUCCAGACUCCUACGGGAGGCAGCAGAGGGGAAUAUUGGACAAUGGGCGAAAGCCUGAUCCAGCCAUGCCGCGUGGGUGAAGAAGGUCUUCGGAUUGUAAAGCACUUUGAGUUGGGAGGAAGGGCAGUAAGUUAAUACCUUGCUGUUUUGACGUUACCAACAGAAUAAGCACCGGCCAACUUCGUG
RNAcentral lists this ribosomal RNA (484 nucleotides) under uncultured bacterium. Its description in RNAcentral is "partial 16S ribosomal RNA". It matches the Rfam family "Bacterial small subunit ribosomal RNA", at positions 30 to 507 of the family's 1533-position model. The record is from RNAcentral.